RNAcentral lists this ribosomal RNA (377 nucleotides) under Sordariomycetes sp. 2123 RO-2014. Its description in RNAcentral is "LSU rRNA". It matches the Rfam family "Eukaryotic large subunit ribosomal RNA", at positions 138 to 522 of the family's 3401-position model. Lineage: Eukaryota; Fungi; Ascomycota; Sordariomycetes. The record is from RNAcentral.
CCGAGUUGUAAUUUGUAGAGGAUGCUUUGGGCGCGGCGCCUUCCGAGUUCCCUGGAACGGGACGCCAGAGAGGGUGAGAGCCCCGUACGGUUGGACGCCUAGCCUAUGUAUAGCUCCUUCGACGAGUCGAGUAGUUUGGGAAUGCUGCUCUAAAUGGGAGGUAAAUUUCUUCUAAAGCUAAAUACCGGCCAGAGACCGAUAGCGCACAAGUAGAGUGAUCGAAAGAUGAAAAGCACUUUGAAAAGAGGGUUAAAUAGCACGUGAAAUUGUUGAAAGGGAAGCGUUUGCGACCAGACCUUCUCCGGGGGGAUCAUCCGGUGUUCUCACCGGUGCACUCCCCUCGGUCUAGGCCAGCAUCGGUUUCCUUAGGGGGAUAA